GUGGGGAAUAUUGGACAAUGGGGGGAACCCUGAUCCAGCCAUGCCGCGUGUGUGAAGAAGGCCUUUUGGUUGUAAAGCACUUUAAGCGAGGAGGAGGCUUACCUGGUUAAUACCUGGGAUAAGUGGACGUUACUCGCAGAAUAAGCACCGGCUAACUCUGUGCCAGCAGCCGCGGUAAUACAGAGGGUGCGAGCGUUAAUCGGAUUUACUGGGCGUAAAGCGCGCGUAGGUGGUUAAUUAAGUCAAAUGUGAAAUCCCCGAGCUUAACUUGGGAAUUGCAUUCGAUACUGGUUAGCUAGAGUAUGGGAGAGGAUGGUAGAAUUCCAGGUGUAGCGGUGAAAUGCGUAGAGAUCUGGAGGAAUACCGAUGGCGAAGGCAGCCAUCUGGCCUAAUACUGACACUGAGGUGCGAAAGCAUGGGGAGCAAACAGGAUUAGAUACCCUUGUAGUCC
Molecule: ribosomal RNA, 451 nt
Filed under: uncultured bacterium
Lineage: Bacteria
Description: partial 16S ribosomal RNA
Rfam family: Bacterial small subunit ribosomal RNA
Source: RNAcentral